RNAcentral lists this ribosomal RNA (236 nucleotides) under Cladosporium sphaerospermum. Its description in RNAcentral is "partial 28S ribosomal RNA". It matches the Rfam family "Eukaryotic large subunit ribosomal RNA", at positions 1 to 232 of the family's 3401-position model. Lineage: Eukaryota; Fungi; Ascomycota; Dothideomycetes; Cladosporiales; Cladosporiaceae. The record is from RNAcentral. RNAcentral also lists the same sequence under 1 other name.
GUUGACCUCGGAUCAGGUAGGGAUACCCGCUGAACUUAAGCAUAUCAAUAAGCGGAGGAAAAGAAACCAACAGGGAUUGCUCUAGUAACGGCGAGUGAAGCAGCAAUAGCUCAAAUUUGAAAUCUGGCGUCUUCGGCGUCCGAGUUGUAAUUUGUAGAGGAUGCUUCUGGGCAGCCACCGACCUAAGUUCCUUGGAACAGGACGUCAUAGAGGGUGAGAAUCCCGUAUGCGGUCGG